AUAAACGCUGGCGGCGUGCUUCAGGCAUGCAAGUCGAACGAGCAACCCGGUUCGCCGGGGAGCGAGUGGCGGACGGGUGAGUAACACGUAAGCAACCUGCCCAGAAGUGUGGAAUAACCCACCGAAAGGUGAGCUAAUACCGCAUGUGAUGUCUCUUCCCUGGAGGAGCCAUUAAAGGCGAAAGUCGCUUCUGGAGGGGCUUGCGGCUGAUUAGCUAGUUGGUGGGGUAAUGGCCUACCAAGGCUACGAUCGGUAGCUGGUCUGAGAGGACGGACAGCCACACGGGGACUGAGAUACGGCCCCGACUCCUACGGGAGGCAGCAGCUAGGAAUCUUGGGAAUGGGCGAAAGCCUGACCCAGCAACGCCGCGUGGGCGAUGAAGGCCUUCGGGUCGUAAAGCCCUUUUGCAGGGGACGAUAAUGACGGUACCCUGCGAAUAAGCCACGGCUAACUACGU
This 457-nucleotide ribosomal RNA is filed under the name uncultured bacterium. RNAcentral's name for it is "bacterial SSU rRNA". It matches the Rfam family "Bacterial small subunit ribosomal RNA", at positions 29 to 506 of the family's 1533-position model. The record is from RNAcentral.